AUUGAACGCUGGCGGCAGGCCUAACACAUGCAAGUCGAACGGUAACAGGAAGCAGCUUGCUGCUUUGCUGACGAGUGGCGGACGGGGGAGUAAUGUCUGGGAAACUGCCCGAUGGAGGGGGAUAACUACUGGAAACGGUAGCUAAUACCGCAUAACGUCGCAAGACCAAAGAGGGGGACCUUAAGGCCUCUUGCCCUCGGAUGUGCCCAGAUGGGAUUAGCUAGUAGGUGGGGUAACGGCUCACCUAGGCGACGAUCCCUAGCUGGUCUGAGAGGAUGACCAGCCACACUGGAACUGAGACACGGUCCAGACUCCUACGGGAGGCAGCAGUGGGGAAUAUUGCACAAUGGGCGCAAGCCUGAUGCAGCCAUGCCGCGUGUAUGAAGAAGGCCUUCGGGUUGUAAAGUACUUUCAGCGGGGAGGAAGGGAGUAAAGUUAAUACCUUUGCUCAUUGACGUUACCCGCAGAAGAAGCACCGGCUAACUCCGUG
Molecule: ribosomal RNA, 490 nt
Filed under: uncultured bacterium
Lineage: Bacteria
Description: partial 16S ribosomal RNA
Rfam family: Bacterial small subunit ribosomal RNA
Source: RNAcentral